CCUACGGGAGGCAGCAGUGGGGAAUAUUGGGCAAUGGGCGCAAGCCUGACCCAGCAACGCCGCGUGCAGGAAGAAGGCUUUCUGGUUGUAAACUUCUUUUCUGAGGGACGAAGACCGUGACGGUACCUCCGGAAUACGCCACGGCUAACUACGUGCCAGCAGCCGCGGUAAUACGUAGGUGGCAAGCGUUAUCCGGAUUUAUUGGGUGUAAAGGGCGUGUAGGCGGGAAAGCAAGUCAGAUGUGAAAACUCAGGGCUCAACCCUGGGCCUGCAUUGGAAACUGUUUUGCUUGAGUGCUGGGGAGGCAAGCGGAAUUCGGGGUGUAGCGGUGAAAUGCGUAGAUAUACGGAGGAACACCAGUGGCGAAGGCGGAUUGCUGGACAGUAACUGACGCUGAGGCGCGAAAGCGCGGGGAGCAAACAGGAUUAGAUACCCCAGUAGUC
RNAcentral lists this ribosomal RNA (443 nucleotides) under uncultured bacterium. RNAcentral describes it as "partial 16S ribosomal RNA". It matches the Rfam family "Bacterial small subunit ribosomal RNA", at positions 338 to 795 of the family's 1533-position model. The record is from RNAcentral.